UACGGAGGGUGCGAGCGUUGUCCGGAUUCACUGGGCGUAAAGGGCGCGUAGGCGGCCCGGUUCGCCCCCCGUGAAAGCCCCCGGCUCAACCGGGGGUCUGCGGGGGGGACGGCCGGGCUGGAGGGCGGUCGAGGGACGCGGAAUGCCGGGUGUAGUGGUGAAAUGCGUAGAUAUCCGGCGGAACACCGGUGGCGGAGGCGGCGUCCUGGACCGCGCCUGACGCUGAGGCGCGAGAGCGCGGGGAGCGAACCGG
RNAcentral lists this ribosomal RNA (253 nucleotides) under uncultured bacterium. RNAcentral's name for it is "partial 16S ribosomal RNA". It matches the Rfam family "Bacterial small subunit ribosomal RNA", at positions 524 to 776 of the family's 1533-position model. The record is from RNAcentral.